RNAcentral lists this ribosomal RNA (253 nucleotides) under uncultured bacterium. RNAcentral's name for it is "partial 16S ribosomal RNA". It matches the Rfam family "Bacterial small subunit ribosomal RNA", at positions 524 to 776 of the family's 1533-position model. The record is from RNAcentral.
UACGUAGGGACCAAGCGUUGUUCGGAUUUACUGGGCGUAAAGGGCGCGUAGGCGGCGUGACAAGUCAGUUGUGAAAUCUCCGAGCUUAACUCGGAACGGUCAACUGAUACUGUUGUGCUAGAGUGCAGAAGGGGCAAUCGGAAUUCUUGGUGUAGCGGUGGAAUGCGCAGAUAUCAGGAGGAACACCGGUGGCGAAGGCGGGUCUCUGGGCCGAUACUGACACUGAGAAGCGAAAGCGUGGGGAGCGAACAGG